UACGAAGGGGGCUAGCGUUGCUCGGAAUCACUGGGCGUAAAGGGUGCGUAGGCGGGUCUUUAAGUCAGGGGUGAAAUCCUGGAGCUCAACUCCAGAACUGCCUUUGAUACUGAAGAUCUUGAGUUCGGGAGAGGUGAGUGGAACUGCGAGUGUAGAGGUGAAAUUCGUAGAUAUUCGCAAGAACACCAGUGGCGAAGGCGGCUCACUGGCCCGAUACUGACGCUGAGGCACGAAAGCGU
RNAcentral lists this ribosomal RNA (239 nucleotides) under uncultured bacterium. RNAcentral's name for it is "partial 16S ribosomal RNA". It matches the Rfam family "Bacterial small subunit ribosomal RNA", at positions 524 to 762 of the family's 1533-position model. The record is from RNAcentral.